AUGAACAUUUUUUCUUUUUUCUUUUCUUUUCUUUUUUUUUUUUUUUUUUUGAGACAGAGUCUCAUUCUGUCGCCCAGGCUGGAGUACGGUGGCGCGAUUUCCGCUUACUGCAACCUCUGUCUCCUAGGUUCAAGUGAUUCUCCUGCCUCAGCCUCCCAAGUUCAGGCUAUUCUCCUGCCUCAGCCUCCUGAGUAGCUGGGAUUACAGGCAUGUGCCACCACGCCAGGCUAAUCUUUGCAUUUUUAGUAGAGAUGGAGUUUCACCAUGUCGAUCAGGCUGGCCUCACGAUCUGCCUCAUGAUCGGCCUCCCAAAGUGCUGGGAUUACGGGCGUGAGCCACCGUGCCUGGCCCCAAAGUGAUAUUUCAAUUCAUGUAUAAAUUGUGGCAUGAUCACAUCAAAGUAAUUAGCAUAUCCACCAUCUCAAAUAUUUAUUGUUUCUUUGUGGUGAGAACAUUAAAAACCCUCUCUUUUUAGCUCAUUUGAAAUAUACGAUACAUUAUUAUUAGCUAUAGUCACCUUGCCGUGCAGUAGAACACCAGGACUUACUCCUCCUAUCUAGCUGUAACUUCGCACCCAUUGACAAAUUCUCUCUCCUUUCUGGUUCACCCCCCACUACCCUGUCCCUAAGGCUCUGGUAACCACCAUUUUACUCUCUACUUCUAGAAGUCUGGCUUUUUUAGAUUCCACAUAUAAGUGGGUCAUACUGUAUUUGUCUCUCCAUGCCUGACUUAUUUCACUUAACAUAAUAUCCGCUAGGUUCAUCCUUGUUGUCACAAAUGAUAGAAUUCCCUAUUUUUUUAAAGGCUGAAUAGUACUCCAAUGUGGAUAUACAUCAAAUUUUAAAAACCCAUUCAUCUGUUGAUGAACAUUUGGAUUGUUUCUAUAUCUUGGCUAACAUGCAUACUGCUGCAAUGGACGUGGGAAUAUAGACAUUCUUUCAGCAUACUCAUUUCAUUCCCUUUGUGCACACGCCCCAUAGUGGGAUUGCUGGAUUUUAUGGUAAUUCUAUUUUUGGUUUUUUGAGGAACCUCUAUACUGUUUUCCAAAAUGGCUAUAGUAAUUUACAUUCCCACUAACAGUGUACAAGUUUCCUUUUACUGCACAUCCUCACCAACACUUGCUAUCUUUCAUCUUUUCAAUAAUAUACAAUCUAACAGGUGCGAGGUGACAUCUCAUUGUGGUUUUCAUUCGCAUUGCUCUGAUAAUUAGAGAUGUUAAACAUCUUUUCAUAUAGCUAUUGGCCAUUUGUAUGUCUUCUUUUGAGAAAUAGCUAUUCAAGUCCUUUGCCCAUUUUUAAUAGGGUUACUUGAUUUCUUGUUAUUGAAUAGUCUCAGGUCCUUGUAUAUUUUGGAUAUUAACUCCUUAUCUAAUGUAUAAUAAUGAGUUCUUACAGCUUAGUAUUUCUAAAAAUGACUUCUUGAAACAUGCAUUCACAGGAGGUUAAGAAGCACUAUUCUGGCUGGGCAUGGUGGCUCACGCCUGUAAUUCCAGCACUUCGGGAGGCCGAGGCAGGUGGAUCACAAGGUCAGGAGUUCAAGAACAGCCUGGCCAACAUGGUGAACCCUGUCUCUACUAAAAAUACAAAAAUUAGCCAGGCAUGAUGGCGAGCGACUGUAGUCCCAGCUACUCAGGAGGCUGUGGCAGAGAAUUGCUUGAACCUGGGAGGCAGAGGUUGCGGUGAGCCAAGAUCACGCCAUUGCACUCCAGCCUGGGUGACAGAGCGAAACUCUGUCGCAGAAGAAGAGGAAGAGGAAGAGGAAGAGGAAGAGGAAGAGGAAGAGGAAGAAGGAAGAAGAAGAAGAAGAAGAAGAAGAAGAAGAAGAAGAAGAAGAAGAAGAAGAAGAAGAAGAAGACGACGUCGACUAUUCCAAAAGAGAAAAAUGAAGUUUAGGUAGUCAAAUAAGUCAAACAGAUUUCUUUAUUGUGUAAUAUCUCAAAGUCUUUAAUAAGCUAAUGUAUAUUUUGAAGCAUUAAAAAGGGACUAUAAUUGCAUUAUUUCGCAAAUUUAUUUGACCAUAGUUUUUCCUUUUUUAAGGACACAAGUGUAAUAUCUUUGUUAAACAAGAUGUAUGCCUAUCUGUAACAGCAGCAAAUAAGGGGUUCUAUUAUGCUUAUUAUUUUGUAACAUAUUCUGUUCAGUCAGGUCAGAAACUUUGUUCUACUUAUUACCCUAUUCCCAAUGCCUAAAACAGUGCCUGAUUCACAGUAGCUUAAAACUAUUUUGUGAAACAAUGAAUGAUUUAAUUCUCAGCCUGGAAAGCAGGUAAGAUUAAAGACCUUUGGUCAGAAAUCAAAUGAAAUUCAGUUGUAGAUUUUGUAGAAACUCGGAGUAAUGGCUUCAUUAACAGAUUGCCAGUCUGUUAAGUAAUUCUCCAUGCUGUCCUAAUUGCAGCCUAAUGUGUAUCUUCACUGCAUUUCCAGCAAUAAAACUGCAGGGAUGGUUAUUUAAAGAAACCUAUAAUAUACAAGUGCUAAAUUAUAUUACUCUGAUGAAUAAUGUAUAAGUAAACUGCUUCUAGAAAUUUGCUCAAACUUUUAUUGUACUGUUUGAAAGUUUACCUUUGCACCUUAUAGAUCUGGGGAGGCAGUCAAUGUUAGAGUUAAUUAAGAUCACAGGCUUUGGGAGUUAGGUAGUGACACCCCAUUCUACUUAUUUCCUUCUAUUCUUCUGGAGGAAAUUUUAAUCCCACAACAUACUGUGACAUCAUGGCAGAAAAGGAACCAGAGAUCGUUGGCUGAAUUAAUAUAUGAACCACAGCCUCCACCACAGCAACUCCACUUCCAUGGUGUCCCACUCUUCUAUUUAUUUCAGGUUGGCAUUUUGACAGAAAAAAUAAAUCUCAUGAGUACAACCUUGGACUAAAAUUAGAGUACUAUAUUUCAUUUCCAGUGCUACCUCUGAUAAGCCCUAUUGCCAUGGGAAAAUUAUUUAACCUGAAGCGCAUUUAUUCCUUUGUUUAUAACAAUGACAAAAGUCUGAUACUCAGGGAAACAGAUAAAAUGAGAACAAAAUAGCAUAAUGUGAUAUUUUAAAAAUCUCAGCAUAUUAAGGAAGCAGCAGGGCAUGGUGGAAAGUGCAGUGGGCCAAAAGAAAAUUUGGAUUGUAGUUCUGAUAUGUCACUAGAAGGCUGGGUAGCUUUGGACACAUUACUUAACCUCUAUGGGUUGGAAUCUAGCUGCUAGGUUAUCUCCAGGAUACCUUCUGACUCUUAAAAAAGUCUAAGAAUUUAAUUAUUACUUUGGGCGUUACUGUUGCACAUGUCCAAAACUUUUUUGUAAAUUGCUUCUUCUACUAUCUCAUGCUGAAGUCUUUGCGGGGGCCAAUAACUACCAUCCCUUUCAAAUUCUGAAUCGAAUGAUAAAGUAUGAAAUAAAAUGUAGCCUGGAUG
This 3390-nucleotide long non-coding RNA is filed under the name Papio anubis (olive baboon). RNAcentral describes it as "lncRNA (ENSPANG00000047369.1)". Lineage: Eukaryota; Metazoa; Chordata; Mammalia; Primates; Cercopithecidae. The record is from RNAcentral.